AUUGAACGCUGGCGGCAGGCCUAACACAUGCAAGUCGAGCGCGAAAGUCUUCGGAUGAGUAAAGCGGCGAACGGGUGAGUAAUGCAUGGGAAUCUGCCUGGUAGUGGGGGACAACGUCUCGAAAGGGACGCUAAUACCGCAUACGCCCUACGGGGGAAGGGGGGAUCUUCGGACCUCUCGCUAUCAGAUGAGCCCAUGUCAGAUUAGCUAGUUGGUGAGGUAAAGGCUCACCAAGGCGACGAUCUGUAACUGGUCUGAGAGGAUGAUCAGUCACACUGGAACUGAGACACGGUCCAGACUCCUACGGGAGGCAGCAGUGGGGAAUAUUGGACAAUGGGGGCAACCCUGAUCCAGCAAUGCCGCGUGAGUGACGAAGGUCUUCGGA
This 385-nucleotide ribosomal RNA is filed under the name uncultured bacterium. Its description in RNAcentral is "bacterial SSU rRNA". It matches the Rfam family "Bacterial small subunit ribosomal RNA", at positions 30 to 422 of the family's 1533-position model. The record is from RNAcentral.